UACAGAGGGUGCGAGCGUUAAUCGGAAUUACUGGGCGUAAAGCGUGCGCAGGCGGUUUUGUAAGUCUGUCGUGAAAUCCCCGGGCUCAACCUGGGAAUGGCAUUUGGGACUGCAAGGCUGGAGUUUGGCAGAGGAGACUGGAAUUCCCGGUGUAGCAGUGAAAUGCGUAGAUAUCGGGAGGAAUACCGAUGGCGAAGGCAGGUCUCUGGGCUAUAACUGACGCUCAUGCACGAAAGCGUGGGGAGCAAACAGG
RNAcentral lists this ribosomal RNA (253 nucleotides) under uncultured bacterium. Its description in RNAcentral is "partial 16S ribosomal RNA". It matches the Rfam family "Bacterial small subunit ribosomal RNA", at positions 524 to 776 of the family's 1533-position model. The record is from RNAcentral.